UGGGGAAUCUUAGACAAUGGGGGAAACCCUGAUCUAGCCAUGCCGCGUGAGCGAUGAAGGCCUUAGGGUUGUAAAGCUCUUUCAGCUGGGAAGAUAAUGACGGUACCAGCAGAAGAAGCCCCGGCUAACUCCGUGCCAGCAGCCGCGGUAAUACGGAGGGGGCUAGCGUUGUUCGGAAUUACUGGGCGUAAAGCGCACGUAGGCGGAUUAGUCAGUCAGAGGUGAAAUCCCAGGGCUCAACCCUGGAACUGCCUUUGAUACUGCUAGUCUUGAGGUCGAGAGAGGUGAGUGGAAUUCCGAGUGUAGAGGUGAAAAUUCGUAGAUAUUCGGAGGAACACCAGUGGCGAAGGCGGCUCACUGGCUCGAUACUGACGCUGAGGUGCGAAAGCGUGGGGAGCAAAACAGGAUUAGAUACCCUGGUAGUCCACGCCGUAAAACGAUGAAUGCCAGUCGUCGGGUUGCAUGCAAUUCGGUGACACACCUAAACGGAUUAAAGCAUUCCGCCUGGGGAGUACGGUCGCAAGAUUAAAAACUCAAAGGAAUUGACGGGGUCAUAGCUGUUUCCUG
Molecule: ribosomal RNA, 567 nt
Filed under: uncultured bacterium
Lineage: Bacteria
Description: partial 16S ribosomal RNA
Rfam family: Bacterial small subunit ribosomal RNA
Source: RNAcentral